Molecule: long non-coding RNA, 2949 nt
Filed under: Xyrichtys novacula (pearly razorfish)
Lineage: Eukaryota; Metazoa; Chordata; Actinopteri; Labriformes; Labridae
Source: RNAcentral
UUGGACUUGAAGUAGAUGGACACAGUUUGCUUUAAAGGAGGAGAUUUCUGUUUCAGCCUGUUUGUGUUUUCUAAGGUCCAAGAUCCACACCUGAUUUUAGCCCAAACCGGAGGCUGAUUUUAGCGCUUUGGCCUCUUAAACUCAUAUCAAACUCCCUGUUCAGUGUCAGACAGGUGAGACACAGUCAGUUGAGCAGAGUGGGGCGAGAAACAGCUACAGAAACAGGUAAGCCUCUCUGGAUCGAGGAUUUAGGAGUUCAGGUACCCAAAGUACUUGGUUAAGUUUAGGAAGAUUGGAGUUGACUUUUGGAUUAACUAUAAGACUCUGACAGCUGUGCCACACUGUCCCAGGCUGUCCAAGGCCAUCCCAGACUGGCCCAGGCUGCCCAAGACUGUCCCAGGCUAUCCCAGGCUGUCCGAGAAUAUCCCACGCUGUCCUAGACUGUCCCAGGCUAUCCCAGGCUGUCCCAGAAUAUCCCAUGCUGUCCUAGAGUGUCCCAGAAUAUCCCAUGCUGUCCUAGACUGUCCCAGGCUAUACCAGGCCAUCACAGACUACCCCAGACUGUCCCAGGCUAUCCCAGGCUGACCCACACUGUCCCAGACUCUUGCAGACCUUCUCACACUAGUGGUUUGUCGGUCUUGAACGAACGGAUCAAAAGAACUAGUUCUUUUUGAUGAACGAAAUGAACUAGUUCUCCCCCCCUAAAUGACCCGUUCAAUCCGUUCAGUUCUUUUGAUUGGCUGAAGAGGGACUGCUUGCCUGUCUUAUCCUAUCGUCGCGCCUCGUUCUGUGUGUGGGUGGGGCUUAGAGAAGCAGCAGCAGUACUACUGAGCUGACUGAAAGACCGGGAUGACCGAGUUGACUGAAAGAACGGGUCAAAUGAACGAAAGACCUAGUUGACUGAAAGAACGGGUCAAAUGAACGAAAGACCGAGUUGAACGAAAGACCCAGACCGAUGAACGAGUUGAACGAAAGACCGAGUGAACGAAAGAUCCAGACGGAUGAACGAGUUGAACGAAAGACCGAGUGAACGAAAGACCGAGUUGAACGAAAGACCCAGACCGAUGAACGAGUUGAACGAAAGACCGAGUGAACGAAAGAUCCAGACGGAUGAACGAGUUGAACGAAAGACCGAGUGAAUGAAAGAUCCAGACGGAUGAACGAGUUGAACGAAAGACCGAGUGAACGAAAGACCCAGACGGAUGAACGAGUUGAACGAGAGACCGAGUGAACGAAAGAUCCAGACAGUGAACGAGUUGACUGAAAGACCGAGUGAACGAAAGAUCCAGACAGAUGAACGAGUUGACUGAAAGACCGAGUUGAGUGGCCGCCGCACGAGGCCCGACAGCCGAGCCGGAGCGAGCGGGACAGUCACACACACGCAAAGGCACACAGCUGCUGCUGCAGCCAGAGGCAGAGAGACAUACGCAUUUGCACUGUCUGUUGACAUUUUACUUUUUAUUAUUGUUUUUAAUGCACCUCAAAAUAAUAAAAACCAUUAAAAACCUUAUAUAUUUUGUUACUCCUACUAUAAUUUUGUAUUACAAGUAGUGCAGUGAGAUCGCAGCGUUGGACCAAGUGGACCGGGGGUGGGAAGUGGAGAGUGCAGCGGUCACAGCGUCGGACCGCGGGCGGGGGGGGGGGGGACGAGCGGACUGACAAAUGACCGAAAAGAACGAAAUGAACGGGUCUUUUUACUGAACGACCCGGAAUGAUCCGGUUCACUGAAAUGACCGGUUUUGCCCACCACUGUCUCACACUGAGAGACACAGUGGCAGACCUUUAUUUAGUGAUGAGUAUUAAACUUUGUGUUCUUGUGUUUAUAAGUUCUGGGUCAGUAGCAUCACUGGGUAGCAGCUCUUUGUUACUGUCAGUACCUGAAAAGUCUAUCCUGUAAAAGGAUUGAUGGAAAUCUUUCCCUUCAUUUCUCAGUGAACAAUAAAACAACAUGAACGUCUUAAGACAAUCGACCCGCCUCACUCUGAUGGAGAUUCAAGGACAGCCAAUGUGUUCAUAUAAAGCCUGAACAUUCACGCAGAUAUCUCAGCUGAACAAAAGCAUCCUUCCUUUACCAUCUCCUUUUCUCUCCUCCUCCUCCUCCUCCUCUCUCUCUCUCUGUCUCUGCGUCCAGAUGGCGAGGCGUCUUGCAGUCAUAAUUUGGUGGUAAUCCCUGCCGCACAUGCUGCCCUCACUCCGCUAAACACUCGUCCUUUUGUCUUCAGGACUUCCUCCAUUCAAACCACACUGUCCUGGUUUUAACAGUGAGCCCACAGCCUGCAGAGCUGGACAAGGUCCAUACUGUACCAUGGGUCUACUGACAUCUAUCAAAGAGUGUUAAAAGGGAGAAGGAUGCUUUAAAGUCUGAGACGUAACACUUCAGACACUUACUGCUAUUUAUUUAUGAAUUAUAUUUAAAUAUUUACUCCAAGAAUUAACCUGAGGUCAAACUUAAUAAAAUCUGUAAAAACUGAGCAUAAAAAUCCAAGAAUAAAGCUUAGGAUCUAGACUUCUUUGUCCGACAGAUUGAAAUAAAAACAUCUGAUCCAAAACAGUGUAAAAGUGAGAACAGUUAGAAUUGAUCUAAUAUCUGAUCUUCUCAUUUGUAGGAUUUUAGCUUUCACAGAAAUAAAGGUCCUGUGUCUGUGUUUGUGCUUGUUUUAAGUCAUUGCUCAGAAUAUUUGUGGAACUUUGAUGGUUGUUAUUUCAAAUAAUUUUUGCCAGGAUUACAAAAACUAAGGGGCAAUGCUGCAAGAUCCCAUAACUCUUCAACAAAUUCACAUUUUUAAGGUAGUCUAAAACAGAAUAUCACACAGCUUUUCUCAAACAUGUGAGGGUUUGAGUCCCCUGGUCUCAGGCUUGGUUUUGGGGAUUUGAUUCCUCCACAGUCCAAGUCUCUGAAUUUCCACAAGUCCGUUCAUUACAUACAGUAUGUCACUGGGGAUCUUCGUG